This 3264-nucleotide long non-coding RNA is filed under the name Sus scrofa (pig). Its description in RNAcentral is "lncRNA (ENSSSCG00025029994.1)". Lineage: Eukaryota; Metazoa; Chordata; Mammalia; Artiodactyla; Suidae. The record is from RNAcentral.
UUUUUUUUUUUUUUGUCUUUUUAGGGCCACACCCAUGGCAUAUGGGGAUUCCCAGGCUAGGGGUAGAAUUGGAACUGAACUUCCAUAUACCACAUGCACGGCCAGUAAAGUGCGUCUGGAGGGUCCCGUCUGGGUAAGGGACUCAGUAGAGCCCUUGCCUUGGAGCAGGUAUUGAAGAUGAGUAGGACUUCGACAGGCAGAAAUGCGAGGGAAUGUAUUCCAGGCAGAGGCAGUGGAAUCAGGAAAGACAGAGGUGGGGAAAGGGUGUCAUUUUCAGGCAACUAUGCAAUCAGAGUGGACAGACCAGAGAGCACAGGUAGAGGAUAGAGCAGAAGACAUACCUGGAGAGACACGAUGGGAAAAAACCAGGGUCACCUUGGGUCACCUCUAGGAGACACUCUGCCUUCUUUCUUCUUUCCCCUUCCAAGACCACCUGACAUUUAAUGGCUUUGCAUGCAUCCUGCCUCACCUUUUCUGGAAGCUUAGACUCCUUAAGAGCAAGGAGCUUGUCUCCAUGCAUACCCCGCCAUCAGCAAAUAUUGACAGUCAUACGAAAGAACUUGGAGAUGAUUCGAUGUGCAAUGGGAAACCACUGAAGAGUCUUGUUCAGCUGUCCCUGAAAGAUUACUUUGGCAACAACAUGUAGGCUGGAUUGGAAGAGAUUAAGAUGCUACCUCAAAAGUCUGGGCAGAAACGAAAGGCUUGACUUAUGUAGCAUUAACAAAGGGGACACGGGGGUGGCUGAGGCCUGCCUGGGGCAGAGUGGACGCCACUUUAGGCAACACCUGAGUGCGACCACAGCACCCCAUGCACCCACUGUAUACCCACUUUCCGAAGCCAGAAAUCUGGAUGUCUUUCCCCACGAUCCCUCCAGCCUAUCAUUUAGCCUGUCAGUUUCACCUGAUGUGUCCCCUCCCUCCCUGGUAACAUACCUGCUUCAGGCCCCUAGCACCUCCCGCCCUGCUUCUCUGCCCCAGCGAGUUGCCCAGGAAAUUCCUUCUCAGUAGUGUUGCCAGAGUUGUCCACCCAACGCGGAAUCUGACCGUGUUACUCUCUUCCGUAAAACCACUCAGCAGAGCCCCAGGACCCUGAGGAUAACCCUGCGUGUCUCAGGACAACAUACAAAGCCUCUCAAGAUCUAGCCCCUGCCUACUGCUCUAGACCAAAUUCCUGCCAACCCCUAUUUCCAGAUUCUCCAGGCUUAUGCUCCAAUAACCAGCCAGUCCUGCGUUCACACGCUCCCAGGCCAACCCAGGUGAUCCUGCUGCUUCGAGCUCUCCCAUCUCUCCUGCCACCACACCUUUCUCAGCUCCAUAUUUAAUACCAAAGCCUCUCCUUUUACCACCCAGCCUGCCUUGUGCCUAUCUCAUUGCUAUUCAUAUAUUCCACCUCCCUCACUAUACUGUUGUGUCCUUGAGGACAGAAACUCACCAUGUCACCUCUAAGUCCCCAGUGCCUGCUCUUCACAAAGUAGACACACAGAUGGACAGACGGAUGGGUGGAUGAAUAGACAGACAAAAUACGAAGAAACAACUGAAUUGCUGAGCUGGGGAGAGAAGGGAAUCAGGGAGGCAGAAGGAACGAUGGAGUGAGAAAGAAUUCAGAGAUAACUUCAAGGUAUCAAUGAACCUGAAGAAGUUGGAUCUUCAUUAUGAAAAUUGGGAAGAAGGGAAGCAACACUCGGGGGAAGGGGUAGAAAGAUGAAUUCAUCUGCAAUGUAUGAUGAGUGAGUGAGUGACUAUGAGAGGGAAAAAGCUUUUAUGAAGGCAAAACCUAACUGCUAAAAGUUUAAGGGGGCCGGAAAUUAGAUAUACAACCUGAAACAAUGUUGAUUCCAGAGAGCUUCAGUACUACAGAAAAUAAGGAAAUCCUAUUUUUAUUUAUUUAUUUUUUAAGCAUAGUAUUUCUUUAUUAGUUUACGGCCACACCCACUGCAUACAGAGGUUCCAGGUUAGGGUCAAAUCAGAGCUGCAGCUGCUGGCCUAUACUCACAGCAACGCUGGAUCCUUAGCCCACAGCAACACUGGAUCCUUAGCCCAUUGAGUGAGGCCACAGCAACACUAGAUCCUUAGCCCACUGAGCGAGGCCAGGGAUUGAACCCGAAUCCUCAUGGACACUAUGUAGUGUUCUUAACCUGCUGAACCACAAUGAGAACUCCAGGAAAUUCUAAUUAAAAAACAAAACAAAACAAAACUGCAUUCAGAGGAAAAUUGCCCACUCCUUUGAGCGGCUCAAGGUGAGGACAGCUCAAUCCCUCUGGCUACAGUAAGUGCUUCUUAAAGCAUCAAGAGCUUCAAGGGAAAGUUUCUGGGAGUCCUUUUCUCUUGUCAUGGCCCAGGAUCCCAGGGGUCUUGAGCAGGGAAUGGACUCGGUGCUUGGAGGCAUGAAAGAGACUCAUUAUGACAGAAGGGAGGGGGGAGGAGAACCCACAAAAAGUGGAUUGGCCACUCUGUUCCCAAGGGCAGGGGGCCCUGGGGUCAGUUGCAAACUCUGGAACAGCCAACAGCCCGUUCUAGAAACUUGAAACUCCCACUAGUUAAGGGUGCCGUCUCUGCAUCAGAAACAGAAGACCCUGCACUGGGAAAGUCAGCCCUUCUUCCAAAGCAGGUGCUGGCGACAGGGGGUGGGCACAAGGUGCGCUGCUGGCCCUGUCCCCCUGGCACGGACCCUGGCCCAUCAGGUAGGAAUAGCCUUCUCGAAGGCUGGGACCUAAAUUCCUCCUCCUACUAGCCGCUUGGGGCCAGUGCUGCCUCCAUGACCUGGGGCCAGUGCUUGGCUUCGUGUUCUGCAGAGCUCCCUUGACUUUGCACUAAGCCUUGCAAAUUAUGCAGCCAGUUCUGAUUCAGAGCAUUUCUCUCCAGAGUGGGUGAAACAGCUCUUGCUUCACUGUCGGGGGAGGCUCUCUGUCUCCUGCAGGGGAGAUCAGUGUGCUGGCGGCAUUCACAUUUUUGAGCUUAAAAAAGGCUCCACAGGAGUUCCCGUCGUGGCGCAGUGGUUAACGAAUCCAACUAGGAACCAUGAGGUUGCAGGUUCGGUUCCUGCCCUUGCUCAGUGGGUUAACAAUCCGGCGUUGCCGUGAGCUGUGGUGUAGGCUGCAGACGCGGCUCGGAUCCCGCGUUGCUGUGGCUCUGGCGUAGGCCAGUGGCUGCGGCUCCGAUUCGACCCCUAGCCUGGGAACCUCCAUAUGCCACAGGAGCGGUCCAAAGAAAUAGCAAGAAGNNNNNNNNNNNNNNAAAAAAAAAAAAAAAAAAAAAAAAAAAAAAG